Molecule: long non-coding RNA, 254 nt
Organism: Canis lupus familiaris (dog)
Lineage: Eukaryota; Metazoa; Chordata; Mammalia; Carnivora; Canidae
Exons: 2
Source: RefSeq, a predicted model, not a curated record
GCGGGCGCGGGCAUGUGCGUCGCGGCGCUGCCCUCGAAGGCCGCGGCUCCCCGCCACGCGCCGGCCGGCGGCGAGGGCCGGGACCGGGACCCGGGACCCGGCUAGGGAUGUGGCAGUCGGGGCUGCACCGCAGCCGACAGCGUGGGAACACGUACGAUUUCGCUGGUGUCUCCUUGAAUUCCUAACUCUGCCACUAUGGAUCCCUGUAAGAACUUAAAAAAAAAAAAGCUAAAAUAAAUGCAUUUACAAGAACA